RNAcentral lists this ribosomal RNA (1554 nucleotides) under Klebsiella sp. LY. Its description in RNAcentral is "16S ribosomal RNA". It matches the Rfam family "Bacterial small subunit ribosomal RNA". Lineage: Bacteria; Pseudomonadati; Pseudomonadota; Gammaproteobacteria; Enterobacterales; Enterobacteriaceae. The record is from RNAcentral.
ACUUAAAUUGAAGAGUUUGAUCAUGGCUCAGAUUGAACGCUGGCGGCAGGCCUAACACAUGCAAGUCGAGCGGUAGCACAGAGAGCUUGCUCUCGGGUGACGAGCGGCGGACGGGUGAGUAAUGUCUGGGAAACUGCCUGAUGGAGGGGGAUAACUACUGGAAACGGUAGCUAAUACCGCAUAACGUCGCAAGACCAAAGUGGGGGACCUUCGGGCCUCAUGCCAUCAGAUGUGCCCAGAUGGGAUUAGCUAGUAGGUGGGGUAAUGGCUCACCUAGGCGACGAUCCCUAGCUGGUCUGAGAGGAUGACCAGCCACACUGGAACUGAGACACGGUCCAGACUCCUACGGGAGGCAGCAGUGGGGAAUAUUGCACAAUGGGCGCAAGCCUGAUGCAGCCAUGCCGCGUGUAUGAAGAAGGCCUUCGGGUUGUAAAGUACUUUCAGCGGGGAGGAAGGCGAUAAGGUUAAUAACCUUGUCGAUUGACGUUACCCGCAGAAGAAGCACCGGCUAACUCCGUGCCAGCAGCCGCGGUAAUACGGAGGGUGCAAGCGUUAAUCGGAAUUACUGGGCGUAAAGCGCACGCAGGCGGUCUGUCAAGUCGGAUGUGAAAUCCCCGGGCUCAACCUGGGAACUGCAUUCGAAACUGGCAGGCUAGAGUCUUGUAGAGGGGGGUAGAAUUCCAGGUGUAGCGGUGAAAUGCGUAGAGAUCUGGAGGAAUACCGGUGGCGAAGGCGGCCCCCUGGACAAAGACUGACGCUCAGGUGCGAAAGCGUGGGGAGCAAACAGGAUUAGAUACCCUGGUAGUCCACGCCGUAAACGAUGUCGAUUUGGAGGUUGUGCCCUUGAGGCGUGGCUUCCGGAGCUAACGCGUUAAAUCGACCGCCUGGGGAGUACGGCCGCAAGGUUAAAACUCAAAUGAAUUGACGGGGGCCCGCACAAGCGGUGGAGCAUGUGGUUUAAUUCGAUGCAACGCGAAGAACCUUACCUGGUCUUGACAUCCACAGAACUUAGCAGAGAUGCUUUGGUGCCUUCGGGAACUGUGAGACAGGUGCUGCAUGGCUGUCGUCAGCUCGUGUUGUGAAAUGUUGGGUUAAGUCCCGCAACGAGCGCAACCCUUAUCCUUUGUUGCCAGCGGUUCGGCCGGGAACUCAAAGGAGACUGCCAGUGAUAAACUGGAGGAAGGUGGGGAUGACGUCAAGUCAUCAUGGCCCUUACGACCAGGGCUACACACGUGCUACAAUGGCAUAUACAAAGAGAAGCGACCUCGCGAGAGCAAGCGGACCUCAUAAAGUAUGUCGUAGUCCGGAUUGGAGUCUGCAACUCGACUCCAUGAAGUCGGAAUCGCUAGUAAUCGUAGAUCAGAAUGCUACGGUGAAUACGUUCCCGGGCCUUGUACACACCGCCCGUCACACCAUGGGAGUGGGUUGCAAAAGAAGUAGGUAGCUUAACCUUCGGGAGGGCGCUUACCACUUUGUGAUUCAUGACUGGGGUGAAGUCGUAACAAGGUAACCGUAGGGGAACCUGCGGUUGGAUCACCUCCUUACCUUAAAGAA